The sequence is a transfer RNA, 99 nucleotides long. It matches the Rfam family "tRNA". Rfam says of the family: Transfer RNA (tRNA) molecules are approximately 80 nucleotides in length. Their secondary structure includes four short double-helical elements and three loops (D, anti-codon, and T loops). The record is from Rfam.
GCCCGUAUAGCUCAGAGGUUUUAGAGCGUCUGGCUUCGAUGGCUGCUAUUAAGCACCCAAGUUACCAGACGGUCGCAGGUUCGAUCCCUGUUGCGGGCU